Molecule: ribosomal RNA, 481 nt
Filed under: uncultured bacterium
Lineage: Bacteria
Description: partial 16S ribosomal RNA
Rfam family: Bacterial small subunit ribosomal RNA
Source: RNAcentral
GAUGAACGCUGGCGGCGUGCUUAACACAUGCAAGUCGAACGAAGCAUUUAGGACAGAUUACUUCGGUUUGAAGUUCUUUAUGACUGAGUGGCGGACGGGUGAGUAACGCGUGGGUAACCUGCCUUGUACUGGGGGAUAGCAGCUGGAAACGGCUGGUAAUACCGCAUAAGCGCACAAUGUUGCAUGACAUGGUGUGAAAAACUCCGGUGGUAUAAGAUGGACCCGCGUCUGAUUAGCUAGUUGGUGAGAUAACAGCCCACCAAGGCGACGAUCAGUAGCCGAGCUGAGAGGGUGGCCGGCCACAUUGGGACUGAGACACGGCCCAGACUCCUACGGGAGGCAGGAGUGGGGAAUAUUUCACAAUGGAGGAAACUCUGAUGCAGCGACGCCGCGUGAGUGAAGAAGUAAUUCGUUAUGUAAAGCUCUAUCAGCAGGGAAGAUAGUGACGGUACCUGACGAAGAAGCUCCGGCUAAAUACGUG